GACGAACGCUGGCGGCGUGCUUAACACAUGCAAGUCGAACGGACAGGCCCUGCUCUUGUUGCUUGCUCGUGUGGCGCACGCGUGAGUAACACGUGAGUAUCCUGCCCCUGUCUUUCUGAUAUCACCUGGAAACUCCGGCUCUUAUCGCAUAGGAUCUCCUGCUGCAUGUUGUUCGUUGGAAAGUUCCGGCGGUUCUGGAUGUACUCGCAGCUUAUCGGCUUGUUUGUGUAGUAGUGGCUUACCAAGGGUUUGAGGGGUAGCCGGCAUGAGAGGGGGAACGGCGACAAUGGGACUGAGAGACGGCCCAGAAGCGUACGGGAGGCAGCAGGGGGGAAUAUGGCAGAAUGGGCGGAAGCGUGAGGCAGCAACGCCGGGUGCGGGAUGACGGCCUUCGGGUGGUAAACAGAUUUGGCCUGUGACGAAGCGGGAGUGACGGUAAUGGGUAAAGAAGCACCGGCUAACUACGUG
Molecule: ribosomal RNA, 468 nt
Filed under: uncultured bacterium
Lineage: Bacteria
Description: partial 16S ribosomal RNA
Rfam family: Bacterial small subunit ribosomal RNA
Source: RNAcentral